AUGGUACUCAUCCGUCAGAGAAAAGUGGGCGUACUGCGCAGGACGUACCAUGUGGGGGCGUUGGUUUCCUGUACCGCGGGGCCGGCGACCCGGACUACUGGACUGGUGGCGACAAGGAUUAGGUGCAUGUGCUUCUUCUCGCACGAGUCCAUUUCCCGUUCAUUGCCGGGAGACGAACAAGGUGAGCCGCGACAGCAGCCGGUGUGCUUCCUCCUCCCCCUGGAUCUGCUCAUGCCGUUCCCCGGAGCAACUACCUCGGCAGCGUUGGCCUCUGGAUCUAUCUUGGCUGCUAGGGGUGCAGGUGCGCACGACGCGCCGUGCGUUAUGGGCGGCGGCGCCGACGUUGUGCCCGAUUCGGCCAUUGGCUCGUCGGAUCCGGCCGUCGGCCCGGUCUCGCCGGACGUGCCUGAGUUGGAUCAAGGGGUGGGCUUGGCUGAUGGCGAAUUUUCCGGGGCAUCCUGCAAGACCUUCAGCUCUGGAGGCGGGGAUGUGGCGUCGGGAUUGGCGACUCCAGCCGGCGUCUCGCACAACUCCGCCCAGUCCAGCGGCUGCAGUGGCCCGGCGGAUUCGUGCACGACAUUCAGUUCAGGGGGCGUGGUCCAGCCGUCGGGAUUGGCGACUCCAGCCGUCGUCUCGCACAACUCCGUCCAGUCCAGCGGCAGCAGUGGUGCGGCGGAUUCGUGCACGACAUUCAGUUCUGGAGGCAUGGUCCUGCCGUCGGCACGGGUCGGCGACGGGACGCCGGCCGUCGUCUCGAGCUGCGCCGUGCAGUCCGCACGUCACAGCGGCCCAGCUUCGGCGAACACCACCAUCCGCGUAGGUUGGAAGCGCAGGCCAAGAGGUCCUAGUGCUCCAGACGAGAGGGCUGUAGUAGCUGAUCGUGUGCCGCCACUGGAAGCUGCUAUUCGAGGGUUAUAG
RNAcentral lists this ribosomal RNA (918 nucleotides) under Triticum aestivum (bread wheat). Its description in RNAcentral is "partial small subunit ribosomal RNA". The record is from RNAcentral. Lineage: Eukaryota; Viridiplantae; Streptophyta; Magnoliopsida; Poales; Poaceae.